Molecule: ribosomal RNA, 253 nt
Filed under: uncultured bacterium
Lineage: Bacteria
Description: partial 16S ribosomal RNA
Rfam family: Bacterial small subunit ribosomal RNA
Source: RNAcentral
UACGAAGGGGGCUAGCGUUGCUCGGAAUCACUGGGCGUAAAGCGCUCGUAGGCGGCUUUUUAAGUCAGGGGUGAAAUCCUGGAGCUCAACUCCAGAACUGCCUUUGAUACUGGGAAGCUCGAGUCCGGGAGAGGUGAGUGGAACUCCGAGUGUAGAGGUGAAAUUCGUAGAUAUUCGGAAGAACACCAGUGGCGAAGGCGGCUCACUGGCCCGGUACUGACGCUGAGGUGCGAAAGCGUGGGGAGCAAACAGG